RNAcentral lists this ribosomal RNA (747 nucleotides) under Rickettsia sp. RNAcentral's name for it is "bacterial LSU rRNA". It matches the Rfam family "Bacterial large subunit ribosomal RNA", at positions 551 to 1285 of the family's 2925-position model. Lineage: Bacteria; Pseudomonadati; Pseudomonadota; Alphaproteobacteria; Rickettsiales; Rickettsiaceae. The record is from RNAcentral.
UGAACCAAAUGCUUACAAGCAGUCGGAGCAAGCGUAUUUAUAUGUCUUGUGACGGCGUACCUUUUGUAUAAUGGGUCAGCGACUUAGUUUAUCUAGCAAGCUUAAGCCGUUAGGUGUAGGCGUAGCGAAAGCGAGUCUGAAUAGGGCAUUUAGUUAGAUGAAUUAGACCCGAAACCGGGUGAUCUAGCCAUGGCCAGGUUGAAAGCGGAGUAAAAUCCACUGAAGGGCCGAACCCACUACUGUUGAAAAAGUAGGGGAUGAGCUGUGGUUAGGGGUGAAAGGCCAAUCAAACUCGGAUAUAGCUGGUUCUCCGCGAAAUCUAUUUAGGUAGAGCGUUAUAGCGAUUACCAUCGAAGGUAGAGCACUGAAUGAGCUAGGGGGUCCCACAGACUUACCAAACUCAAUCAAACUCCGAAUGUCGAUGAGUACAGCAUAGCAGACAGACUAUGGGUGCUAAGGUCCAUAGUCGAGAGGGAAAAAGCCCAGACCGCCAUCUAAGGUCCCUAAAUCAUGACUAAGUGUUAAAGGAUGUGAGAAGACCAAAACAACUAGGAUGUUGGCUUAGAAGCAGCCAUCAUUUAAAGAAAGCGUAAUAGCUCACUAGUCUAAAUAAGUUUUCUUGCGCCAACAAUGUAACGGGGCUCAAGUCAUGUACCGAAGAUGCGGGUUUAUGCAUUUGGCAUAAAUGGUAGCGGAGCGUUCCGUAAGCCUGCGAAGGUGAACUGUAAAGUUUGCUGGACGUAUCAA